GAAGACCAGAAUGUGUAGAUGUGAAUUGGAAAGUGGCAACAUAUACCUAAUUCAGACUUCAGAGAUUCAGUUAGACAUGAUUUAUGGAAAUUGGAUUCAUUAAUUUUUGGACAUUCAAAAAUAUACCAUACUACUAUAGUACUAUUGUCUGAUUGUGAAGAAGCAGGUAGUCAAUUUUAAUAGUGCAGAUCUUCGAAGACCAGAAUGUGUAGAUGUGAAUUGGAAAGUGGCAACAUAUACCUAGUUCAGACCUUAGAGAUUUAGUUCGACAUUAUUUAUGGAAAUUGGAUUCAUUAAUUUUUGGACAUUCAAAGAUAUACCAUACUAUUGUCCAACUGUGAAGAAGUAGGUAGGUAGCCAAUUUUAAUAGUGCAGAUCUUCGAAGACCAGAAUGUGUAGAUGUGAAUUGGAAAGUGGCAACAUAUACCUAGUUCAGACUUCAGAGAUUUAGUUAGACAUGAUUUAUAGAAAUUGGAUUCAUUAAUUUUUGGACAUUCAAAACUAUACCAUACUACUAUAGUACUAUUGUCUGAUUGUGAAGAAGCAGGUAGCCAAUUUUAAUAGUGCAGAUCUUCGAAGACCAGAAUGUGUAGAUGUGAAUUGGAAAGUGGCAACAUAUACCUAGUUCAGACCUUAGAGAUUUAGUUCGACAUUAUUUAUGGAAAUUGGAUUCAUUAAUUUUUGUACAUUAAAGAUAUACCAUACUAUUGUCC
This is a long non-coding RNA of Acyrthosiphon pisum (pea aphid), 713 nucleotides long. RefSeq lists it as uncharacterized. NCBI's taxonomy places the organism in Eukaryota, Metazoa, Arthropoda, Insecta, Hemiptera, Aphididae. The transcript has 5 exons. The record is from RefSeq and is a predicted model, not a curated record.